This is a long non-coding RNA of Macrobrachium nipponense, 905 nucleotides long. RefSeq lists it as uncharacterized. The record is from RefSeq and is a predicted model, not a curated record. The transcript is spliced from 3 exons. NCBI's taxonomy places the organism in Eukaryota, Metazoa, Arthropoda, Malacostraca, Decapoda, Palaemonidae.
CAUUUUAGGAUCUGUCACACAUGUAUAUAAGCUGAAACGGAACCAGCUUGUCCAUCAGUGUCUUUAGACGUCCUACCAGAGAGGUCGAAGGGACAAAGAAGUAUCAUUCUUCAACUACUGCUACUCUAGCCCCGAGAAGUUCAUUGCAACGAAAAUGAAAGCUACUGCCUUCCUGCUGGCACUGGUGUGCUGUGUGGCUCUCUGCCAGGCCCAAAGGAAAGACCCUCUCGUUGACUUCCUCGAACGACUGGGCUCUGGAAAUCGAAACGUGCUGACAGAGCUGGAUGUCCUCUUCCAGCCCAACACUGUGGGCAACGUAGUCAGCUGCGUCAUCGACAUCAGAUCUGGAAGCAACUGCGACCCCAGAGCUAGUGCUAUCAGGAACGUCCUCCCCCAUGUGUACCGCCUCGGACUGAGGUGCCAAGAAUGCAACCAGCAGACCCAGGUCGCCAUCGAGAAGUUCGUCCGGGGCGUCAGGUCCGAUCCCCAGCAGUGCCUCAGACUCGAGCAAGCCUUUAGCCUCCCUAAACUUUGCGGAGUUUGAGGACUGAAGGAGACACGAGCCCAAAGACCAACUCGCUUUUGAUUUAACUCUUAUUUUGGCAUCGUUGUGGAUGAGCCUCAGUGUUCAGCCGCCAUUUCUCUCUCCCACCUGUCUUUAUCGAAUGUUCAUAAGUGGAUUAAUGUUUUUUCUUUCAUUUAUCAAUUUCAGAAUUAUGGUACUACAAGUCCCUAGGAGCUCUUUUGUCUAUAUAUUUUUUUUCAUUAUUUCAGAAAGUCCCAUACCAGCCACGGGGUCAUAAUUCAAAUUUCUUUUCAUUCCUAUAAUAGUAUAUAUCAUAAUUAUCAUAUUAUUGUGAAACUGUAAUAUUGUAAACAGAAAAUAAACAUGAGUAUUUUAUUCA